UUGUGCCCCAUUUGCCAAACCUACAUAAUCACUAGGAUUAGACUGUGCGAGUAAUUCAUCAGAUUAAGCAGUCUGUUCAGAACUUGACAGAAUGAAUCAUUGCUGGAAGUUCCAAAACCUGACAGGAUGAAGCACAUUGAUGGAUUAAAUCCCAUAAAAUGCACUUCUUCUAUUUCAGUUCUCUGUGCAUAUCUAUUUGGGUAACCUUCUUUAAUUAAUGUCAAAGAACCAAAUAGUUCUGUUUGAUUUUGAUUCCUGUUGUGAACUUCUGAUUUGAUCAGAUACUUUCUUGUUUGAACAUGUUUCUUUCUUCAGAAGUGAAAACGAUUGUGUCAGAGAUAUAAGAUAUGCUUAGCCUUAACUUACG
RNAcentral lists this unclassified non-coding RNA (367 nucleotides) under Hevea brasiliensis (rubber tree). The record is from RNAcentral. Lineage: Eukaryota; Viridiplantae; Streptophyta; Magnoliopsida; Malpighiales; Euphorbiaceae.